UGAGCAUCGUCCAGGUAGAGACGGUGAGCAGAUCACAGGAGAAAUGCAGUAUCCAUUCCUGAUGUCCUUCUCUGGUGGCUUUUAAGAUACUGCUGGAGCUCUGCAGUAGGAACAGUUGGUGGAAGCUGGUAUCCAGACCUGUCCUGCGAGGGGUGAAAAAAUCAGGUCCUCUGAAAAAGUCCCGCUGGAGACACAACCAAACCAGAGAACUACCCUAGAGGACAGUGACAUGUCGAUAAUGGGGGCUGAUUAAGAGAAAAGGAAAAUGACAAUUAGUGGUUCAUUUUCAUCGUGGCAAAAAGGCUCCAUCUGGUGGUGGUGUCACCCAAAAAAGAAGCUACAAGCUCUGAAGUGCUGGAGGGGAAGCUUUGCGGUGGCCGUUGUUGACCUGCCACCUUCCUGCCUGUCCUGCCUUUCCCUGAGGUCUCUGUCCGAAUGCAGGGCACAUCAGCUGCCUGGAGGUCCUGUGUUUUCAUGGGCAAGGGUAUUAAACAAGGAGAAGGCAUCCAGCCCAUGCUGAGGGAGCCUGUGGCCUUACCUGGAGGCUAUUCUGGUGAAGUGCUCAUAGACGUUCUCCUUGGUGGGCUGCAAGGAUUUCAGCAUGUAGCGAAACUCCGCAUCGUACCGCUUAUUAAUGUCGUCACCGAUGAUGGCCAGGCGCCUUCCUACCAGGCUCCCGGUGCUGCCCAGAGGGAAGACGGCAUUAUGGAGAGGUCAGCAAGACUGGAACAGGUUUAUUUGGUGGUAAACAAAUCCCACCUUAUGGAGGAGCCAGCGGAGCCAGUGACCGCUCCACCGAGAGCCAGAAAACGAAACCGACUGACUCACAGUUUCAGUGAGAGACAGGGAAACCACAUAUUGAUGGGAGAUACAGUUCAACGGGAAAUCCAGUACUCUUGUGUGUGUGCUGGAAAUAGGAACUGCAUGGGCACCAGACGAGAGAAAAGUGGUCUGGGAGAUGAAGACACUCACAGAUGCAUGACUAACAUCCCCAAGCAACUAUUUAUCAGUUCAUGACUUGCAACAUCAAGUCCAGAGCUAAGAUAAACAACUAAGGACCAAAUCUCACACCUCUCCAGGUAUGUUACGUGAGUAUUAAACACACACGGACAGAUGAGAAAGCCCAGGUAAUCUGAGGAAGAGAACAGUUGCCAAUCUGACUCUGCAAACUGUGAGGCAGGGUGGCUGGGCUUUCCAUGCACAGCCCUGACACCCUGGACAUCCUCGCAGAGACUGACAUCAAAGCUCUCUCCAUCUCCUUAGUAAUAAGGAGCGGACAUAGCAAUAC
This is a long non-coding RNA of Haliaeetus leucocephalus (bald eagle), 1288 nucleotides long. RefSeq lists it as uncharacterized. Lineage: Eukaryota; Metazoa; Chordata; Aves; Accipitriformes; Accipitridae. The transcript has 8 exons. The record is from RefSeq and is a predicted model, not a curated record.